RNAcentral lists this ribosomal RNA (442 nucleotides) under uncultured bacterium. RNAcentral's name for it is "partial 16S ribosomal RNA". It matches the Rfam family "Bacterial small subunit ribosomal RNA", at positions 338 to 795 of the family's 1533-position model. The record is from RNAcentral.
CCUACGGGUGGCAGCAGUAGGGAAUCUUUCACAAUGGGCGAAAGCCUGAUGGAGCAACGCCGCGUGCAGGAUGAAGGCCUUCGGGUUGUAAACUGCUUUUAUAAGCGAGAAAUAUGAUGGUAACUUAUGAAUAAGGAUCGGCUAACUACGUGCCAGCAGCCGCGGUCACACGUAGGAUCCGAGCAUUAUCCGGAGUGACUGGGUGUAAAGAGUUGCGUAGGUGGCAUAAUAAGUAGCUAGUGAAAUCUGGUGGCUCAACCAUUCAGACUAUUAGCUAAACUGUUAAGCUCGAGACCGUUAGGGGUAACUGGAAUUUCUAGUGUAGGAGUGAAAUCCGUAGAUAUUAGAAGGAACACCAAUAGCGUAGGCAGGUUGCUGGGACGGGUCUGACACUAAGGCACGAAAGCGUAGGGAGCAAACGGGAUUAGAUACCCGAGUAGUC